AAUGGAGUUCCAUAUGUAGAUAUAGGUAGGAGUAAAGUGACUAGGCAACAGGGUAGAUAAUAAACAGUAGCAGCAGUGUCUGUAAUGAGUCAAAAGAGUUAGUGCAGAUAGUGGGGGUAAAAGCUGUGUGCCGGGUCCUGUUAGUUCCAGACUUCAGUACAGCUUUCUGUGCAGAAGCAGGGAGAACAGUAUAUGACUUUGGUGGCUGGAGUCUUCCUCUGACACCACCUGGUAUAGAGGUCCUGGAUAGCAGGGAGCUCAGCACCAGUGAUGUACUGGGCCGUACACAUUAUCCUAUGAAGCGCCUUGCGGUCGGAUACCAAGUGGUGAUGCAGCCAGUAAAGACGCUCUCAUUGGUGCAGCUGUAGAAGGGGAAGAGUUGUGCCUUCUUCAUGACUUUGUUGGUGUGUGUGGGCUAUGCUAAUUCCUUAGUGAUGUGGACACCCAGGAGCUUAAAGCUCUUGACCCGCUCCACUACAGCCCUAUCGAUGUGGAUGGGGAUGUGCUCUGCCCUCUGUUUCCUGUCGUCCACAAUUGGCUCCUUUGUCUUGCUGACAUUGAGGGAGAGGUUGUUGUCCUGAACACCACACUGCCAGGUCACUGACCUCCUCCCUAUAGGGUGUCUCAUCGGGUCGUGUCAUCAGCAAACAUAAUGAUGGAGUCGUGAGCAGCCAGGCAGUCGUGGUUGAACAGGGAGUACAGGAGGAGACUAAGCACACACUCCUAAGUGAGCCCUUGUUGAGGGUGAGAGUGGCGGUCGUGUUAUUGCCUACCCUCACCACCUGGGGGCGGCCUGUCAGGAAGUCCAGGAUUCAGUUUCAGACAGUAGUGUUCAGUCAAAGGGUCCUGAGCUUAGUGAUGAGAUUUGUGGGCACUAUGGUGUUGAACGCUGAGCUGUAGUCAAUGAACUGUGUUCUCACAUGGGAGAGGGCAGUGUGGAAUGCAAUAGAGGUUACGUCAUCUGUGGAUCUGUUGGGGUGGUAUGCAAAUUUAAUUGGAGUGGGUAUGUGAAUUGGAGUGGGUCCACACACAGAGAGAGAGAGAUUUCAUUUCAUCAGUGAGAGGCUCUCCUGAGGGGAUGAGAGUGUGAGGAGAGGUGUAGAGCAGCAACAUUAAGACAUCUGGAGGUCUGAUUACUGACCACUAUACUGUAGACAUCUGGAGGUCUGAUUACUGACCACUAUACUGCAGACAUCUGGAGGUCUGAUUACUGACCACUAUACUGCAGACAUCUGGAGGUCUGAUUACUGACCACUAUACUGCAGACAUCUGGAGGUCUGAUCACUGACCACUAUACUGCAGACAUCUGGAGGUCUGAUUACUGACCACUAUACUGCAGACAUCUGGAGAUCUGAUCACUGACCACUAUACUGCAGACAUCUGGAGGUCUGAUUACUGACCACUAUACUGCAGACAUCUGGAGAUCUGAUCACUGACCACUAUACUACAGACAUCUGGAGGUCUGAUUACUGACCACUAUACUGCAGACAUCUGAAGGUCUGAUUACUGACCAUUAUACUGCAGACAUCUGGAGGUCUGAUUACUGACCACUAUACUGCAGACAUCUGGAGAUCUGAUCACUGACCACUAUACUACAGACAUCUGGAGGUCUGAUUACUGACCACUAUACUGCAGACAUCUGGAGGUCUGAUUACUGACCACUAUACUGCAGACAUCUGGAGGUCUGAUUACUGCCCACUAUACUGCAGACAUCUGGAGGUCUGAUUACUGACCACUAUACUGCAGACAUCUGGAGGUCUGAUUACUGACCACUAUACUGCAGACAUCUGGAGGUCUGAUUACUGACCACUAUACUGCAGACAUCUGGAGGUCUGAUCACUGACCACUAUACUGCAGACAUCUGGAGGUCUGAUUACUGACCACUAUACUGCAGACAUCUGGAGAUCUGAUCACUGACCACUAUACUGCAGACAUCUGGAGGUCUGAUUACUGACCACUAUACUGCAGACAUCUGGAGAUCUGAUCACUGACCACUAUACUACAGACAUCUGGAGGUCUGAUUACUGACCACUAUACUGCAGACAUCUGAAGGUCUGAUUACUGACCAUUAUACUGCAGACAUCUGGAGGUCUGAUUACUGACCACUAUACUGCAGACAUCUGGAGAUCUGAUCACUGACCACUAUACUACAGACAUCUGGAGGUCUGAUUACUGACCACUAUACUGCAGACAUCUGGAGGUCUGAUUACUGACCACUAUACUGCAGACAUCUGGAGGUCUGAUUACUGCCCACUAUACUGCAGACAUCUGGAGAUCUGAUCACUGACCACUAUACUGCAGACAUCUGGAGGUCUGAUUACUGACCACUAUACUGCAGACAUCUGGAGGUCUGAUCACUGACCACUAUACUGCAGACAUCUGGAGGUCUGAUUACUGACCACUAUACUGCAGACAUCUGGAGAUCUGAUCACUGACCACUAUACUGCAGACAUCUGGAGGUCUGAUUACUGACCACUAUACUGCAGACAUCUGGAGAUCUGAUCACUGACCACUAUACUACAGACAUCUGGAGGUCUGAUUACUGACCACUAUACUACAGACAUCUGGAGAUCUGAUCACUGACCACUAUACUACAGACAUCUGGAGGUCUGAUUACUGACCACUAUACUGCAAUGUGGAUGUGGACACCUACUUGUCGAACAUCUCAUUGUCAUGCUGAAACAGGAAACUGCCAAUGUUUUUGUAUGACUGUGUGCUUGAUUUUAUACUCCUGUCAGCAACAGGUGUGGCUGAAAUAGCCGAAUCCACUAAAUUGAAGGGGUGUCCACAUACUUUUGUAUAUAUAGUGUAUCUUACACAAGCACCGGUACGUACACACACAGGCAGUCUCAGCUUGCCACUCCCUCUACCCACAGUAAUGCAAAGUUCACCUUCAAACAGAUAUCAAUAUCAAUCAUUUGUACAGGCACAAAGGAAGACAGUUUUUGACUGAGCGUGUGUGUGUGCGCGCAUUGGUGUGUGUCCACAUCUAACAGCAUCUGUACGAGAGUCAGUUUUCUUGCAUGAAAAACUGCAAGCUAUGCCCUCUGCCUUGGGAGGUGGGCUGGAAGCUUGCCUGACAGAGGAGUACUGAGACUGAUCUAUUCCUGGGAAGAAUCUCUGAACUGGAUCAGAACCUGUCUGGCUCCUCUCCAUCCAUCCAGGGCAGCUGCCAAUCAAAACAAGCAAGAUGAUAGAGUGACACGAAUACAAGGUAGAAAGUGG
Oncorhynchus keta (chum salmon) is the source of this 3225-nucleotide long non-coding RNA. RefSeq lists it as uncharacterized. The record is from RefSeq and is a predicted model, not a curated record. Lineage: Eukaryota; Metazoa; Chordata; Actinopteri; Salmoniformes; Salmonidae. The transcript is spliced from 4 exons.